GCUGGGUGUGCUGGUGCACACCUGUAAUCCAAGCUACUUGGGAGGCUGAGACAGGAGAAUCGCUUGAACCCAGGAGACAGAGGUUGCAGUGAGCUGAGAUGGCACCACUGCACUCCAGCCUGGGCGACAGAGUGAGACUCUGUCUCAA
RNAcentral lists this signal recognition particle RNA (148 nucleotides) under Homo sapiens (human). RNAcentral describes it as "Metazoan signal recognition particle RNA". It matches the Rfam family "Metazoan signal recognition particle RNA". Rfam says of the family: The signal recognition particle (SRP) is a universally conserved ribonucleoprotein. Lineage: Eukaryota; Metazoa; Chordata; Mammalia; Primates; Hominidae. The record is from Rfam by way of RNAcentral.